AUCCAGCUGACGAGUCAUGGACAGGAAGAAACGCACGUCCUGGAU
RNAcentral lists this non-coding RNA (45 nucleotides) under Schistosoma haematobium. Lineage: Eukaryota; Metazoa; Platyhelminthes; Trematoda; Strigeidida; Schistosomatidae. The record is from RNAcentral.